GCAGUCGAGCGGAAUGACGAGAGCUUGCUCUCUGAUUUUAGCGGCGGACGGGUGAGUAACACGUGGGCAACCUGCCCUACAGAUGGGGAUAACUCCGGGAAACCGGGGCUAAUACCGAAUAAUCAGUUUGUCCGCAUGGACAAACUCUGAAAGACGGUUUCGGCUGUCACUGUAGGAUGGGCCCGCGGCGCAUUAGCUAGUUGGUGGGGUAAUGGCCUACCAAGGCAACGAUGCGUAGCCGACCUGAGAGGGUGAUCGGCCACACUGGGACUGAGACACGGCCCAGACUCCUACGGGAGGCAGCAGUAGGGAAUCUUCCACAAUGGACGAAAGUCUGAUGGAGCAAUGCCGCGUGAGCGAAGAAGGUUUUCGGAUCGUAAAGCUCUGUUGUAAGGGAAGAACACGUACGGGAGUAACUGCCCGUGCCAUGACGGUACCUUAUUAGAAAGCCACGGCUAACUACGUGCCAGCAGCCGCGGUAAUACGUAGGUGGCAAGCGUUGUCCGGAAUUAUUGGGCGUAAAGCGCGCGCAGGCGGUUCUUUAAGUCUGAUGUGAAAGCCCACGGCUCAACCGUGGAGGGUCAUUGGAAACUGGAGAACUUGAGUACAG
This 610-nucleotide ribosomal RNA is filed under the name bacterium 78-L049616-122-011-F10. RNAcentral's name for it is "bacterial SSU rRNA". It matches the Rfam family "Bacterial small subunit ribosomal RNA", at positions 57 to 651 of the family's 1533-position model. The record is from RNAcentral.